Bison bison bison is the source of this 107-nucleotide small nuclear RNA. The record is from Ensembl. Lineage: Eukaryota; Metazoa; Chordata; Mammalia; Artiodactyla; Bovidae.
GUGCUCACUUCAGCGGCACGUAUACUAAAAUUGGAAUCGUACAGAGAAAAUUAGCGUGGCCCCUAUACAAGGAUGAUACACAAAUUCGUGAAGUGUUCCGUAUUUUU